GUCAGACUUUUAUCAGAAAUAUGAGAAUUUUUGAGUUUCAAAACCUGGUUAAUUUCUUUGACAUUUUAGUUUGCCACAUGCUUAUUAGAAGCAUUUUAAGAUUACAAAAGACAAGUGUAAAAAUGUCAGAUCGUACAGUUUAGCCUUAAGAUAGUAAGAUGAAUCAAAUAUG
Molecule: long non-coding RNA, 172 nt
Organism: Sphaeramia orbicularis (orbiculate cardinalfish)
Lineage: Eukaryota; Metazoa; Chordata; Actinopteri; Kurtiformes; Apogonidae
Exons: 4
Source: RefSeq, a predicted model, not a curated record